This is a long non-coding RNA of Callithrix jacchus (white-tufted-ear marmoset), 642 nucleotides long. RefSeq lists it as uncharacterized. Lineage: Eukaryota; Metazoa; Chordata; Mammalia; Primates; Cebidae. The record is from RefSeq and is a predicted model, not a curated record.
GACUAGAUUAUCUCCACUCGACCCACAUGAUGCAAAUUUUCUACUAGAAUGCCGAGUUCUUUCAGGAAAAGGGGGAAGAGUUGCAGGCCAGUCAACAACACCAGCUGCUGCCUGCUGCAGCAGGAUCACACUAAGGCAUCCCCUUCACCAUGCAUCACUUGGGGUUGCUCUGAGAAAUUGCCUUGCUUCAGGCUGAGUCCCUGCUUUGGGGCAACGGACCCAGUGCUGAAGAACCAGGUAUGACCAAGACAGACAGAAGAUUGCUGCCUUCAUGGAACUUUCUGUCCAGAUGGAGAGACAGCUAAUUAAACAGAAGCAUUGACCCCUCUGAAGACCACAAAAACCCCCAGAAUCAGCCACAGCAGAGAAGACCACAGGAUGACCAGCUGCAGAGAGGAGCUUCCCACUCCAGGGAUGAUCUGCCUGCAGAAAGAAACAACCCACUCCAGGGACUUCUCUCUGCUAAGAGCUGCGAAGACUAUGGGGUGACCAGCAGCAGAGAGGAGUCACCCACGCCAGAGCUGCCUCCUCUCUGCUGAGGGCUGAAUACUGGUCAGGACACCCUGGCUGCAGACAGGAGAUACCCACAGUGGGUCUUUGAGCUGUUCUGCUGCUCAAUAAAGCUCCUCUUUGUCUUGCUCA